This 254-nucleotide ribosomal RNA is filed under the name uncultured bacterium. RNAcentral's name for it is "partial 16S ribosomal RNA". It matches the Rfam family "Bacterial small subunit ribosomal RNA", at positions 524 to 776 of the family's 1533-position model. The record is from RNAcentral.
UACGAAGGGGGCUAGCGUUGCUCGGAAUUACUGGGCGUAAAGGGAGCGUAGGCGGAUAGUUCAGUCAGAGGUGAAAGCCCAGGGCUCAACCUUGGAACUGCCUUUGAUACUGGCUAUCUUGAGUUUGGGAGAGGUGUGUGGAACUCCGAGUGUAGAGGUGAAAUUCGUAGAUAUUCGGAAGAACACCAGUGGCGAAGGCGACACACUGGCCCAAUACUGACGCUGAGGCUCGGAAAGCGUGGGGAGCAAACAGG